GCCUUGCUAGCUCAAUCGGUAGAGCGUGAGACUCUUAAUCUCAAGGUUGGGGGUUCGACCCCCCCCGUAGGGCU
RNAcentral lists this transfer RNA (74 nucleotides) under Sphaerobolus stellatus SS14. RNAcentral describes it as "tRNA-Lys (CTT) (tRNA-Lys-CTT-8-1)". It matches the Rfam family "tRNA". From Rfam's summary of the family: Transfer RNA (tRNA) molecules are approximately 80 nucleotides in length. Their secondary structure includes four short double-helical elements and three loops (D, anti-codon, and T loops). Further hydrogen bonds mediate the characteristic L-shaped molecular structure. tRNAs have two regions of fundamental functional importance: the anti-codon, which is responsible for specific mRNA codon recognition, and the 3' end, to which the tRNAs corresponding amino acid is attached (by aminoacyl-tRNA synthetases). tRNAs cope with the degeneracy of the genetic code in two manners: having more than one tRNA (with a specific anti-codon) for a particular amino acid; and 'wobble' base-pairing, i.e. permitting non-standard base-pairing at the 3rd anti-codon position. Lineage: Eukaryota; Fungi; Basidiomycota; Agaricomycetes; Geastrales; Sphaerobolaceae. The record is from RNAcentral.